GUUCCUUUAUGAUCACCAAAGUUAAGCAACAUCAAGCCAGGUCAGUACCUAGAUGAGUGACCAUUUGGGAAUACCAGGUGAUGUA
Acanthosepion pharaonis is the source of this 85-nucleotide non-coding RNA. NCBI's taxonomy places the organism in Eukaryota, Metazoa, Mollusca, Cephalopoda, Sepiida, Sepiidae. The record is from the annotation of a GenBank genome assembly.